AACGCUAGCUACAGGCUUAACACAUGCAAGUUGAGGGGCAGCAUCAUCAAAGCUUGCUUUGAUGGAUGGCGACCGGCGCACGGGUGAGUAACACGUAUCCAACCUGCCGACAACACUGGGAUAGCCUUUCGAAAGAAAGAUUAAUACCGGAUGGUAUAGUUUUCCCGCAUGGGAUGAUUAUUAAAGAAUUUCGGUUGUCGAUGGGGAUGCGUUCCAUUAGGCAGUUGGCGGGGUAACGGCCCACCAAACCUACGAUGGAUAGGGGUUCUGAGAGGAAGGUCCCCCACAUUGGAACUGAGACACGGUCCAAACUCCUACGGGAGGCAGCAGUGAGGAAUAUUGGUCAAUGGACGAGAGUCUGAACCAGCCAAGUAGCGUGAAGGAUGACUGCCCUAUGGGUUGUAAACUUCUUUUAUACGGGAAUAAAGUGAGCCACGUGUGGCUUUUUGUAUGUACCGUAUGAAUAAGGAUCGGCUAACUCCGUGCCAGCAGCCGCGGUAAUACGGAGGAUCCGAGCGUUAUCCGGAUUUAUUGGGUUUAAAGGGAGCGUAGGCGGGUUGUUAAGUCAGUUGUGAAAGUUUGCGGCUCAACCGUAAAAUUGCAGUUGAUACUGGAUAUCUUGAGUGCAGUUGAGGCAGGCGGAAUUCGUGGUGUAGCGGUGAAAUGCUUAGAUAUCACGAAGAACUCCGAUUG
RNAcentral lists this ribosomal RNA (693 nucleotides) under uncultured bacterium. RNAcentral's name for it is "bacterial SSU rRNA". It matches the Rfam family "Bacterial small subunit ribosomal RNA", at positions 32 to 715 of the family's 1533-position model. The record is from RNAcentral.